AGCCAGUGUCUGCAGGAGUACCUGAAAGAGGGCAAGUUGGACUUCCAGUGUCCCUGUGGAGCUGGACAGUCGACAGAACGUCUCUCGUUUUUGACUUUGCCAAAUGUUCUGAUUCUCCAGCUAAAAAGAUUCAUGUUCACCUCGACCUUCAGGCUGAAGAAGGUCAACACUCCUGUACAACUGACCAGGGAGCUUGUGGUGAACCCUGAACACUCCCUCACUGCACAGACAGAGACUCGCUACUCUUUGGUGAGCAUCGUGAGUCAUUUGGGCUCCACAGCUCACAGUGGACACUACAUCUGUGACGGUGCUCACCGGCCUCAGGAACCAGGUGACACAUCAGACUGUUGGCUCACUUACAAUGAUGAGCACGUCACCGUGACAACGGGUGAAUCCGUGUGUCACCUGAGGCAGGCAUCAGCGUACCUUUUGUUUUAUGAAAAGCAGUGAGGAAACAUGGAGACCAGCCCUCAGAACAAGAAGCUGGAACAUCUCCGUGUCUGUGUCUGUCUGUCUGUGUGUCUGUCUGUCUAUGUGUCUGUCUGUGUGUCCGUCUCUCCCUCUCUCUCUCUCUCUCUCUCUCUCUAUCUCUCUCUAUCCCUUCCUCUCUCUCUCUCUCUAUCUCUCUGUCUCUCUCUCUCUCUCCCCCUCUCUCUCUCU
Molecule: long non-coding RNA, 660 nt
Organism: Amphiprion ocellaris (clown anemonefish)
Lineage: Eukaryota; Metazoa; Chordata; Actinopteri; Pomacentridae
Source: Ensembl